UGGGGAAUAUUGGACAAUGGGCGAAAGCCUGAUCCAGCCAUGCCGCGUGUGUGAAGAAGGUCUUCGGAUUGUAAAGCACUUUAAGUUGGGAGGAAGGGCCGUUACCUAAUACGUGAUGGUUUUGACGUUACCGACAGAAUAAGCACCGGCUAACUCUGUG
This 160-nucleotide ribosomal RNA is filed under the name uncultured bacterium. RNAcentral's name for it is "partial 16S ribosomal RNA". It matches the Rfam family "Bacterial small subunit ribosomal RNA", at positions 355 to 507 of the family's 1533-position model. The record is from RNAcentral.